RNAcentral lists this ribosomal RNA (305 nucleotides) under uncultured bacterium. RNAcentral describes it as "bacterial SSU rRNA". It matches the Rfam family "Bacterial small subunit ribosomal RNA", at positions 333 to 655 of the family's 1533-position model. The record is from RNAcentral.
AUGUUCCUACGGGGGGCAGCAGUGGGGGAUAUUGCACAAUGGGGGGAACCCUGAUGCAGCGACGCCGCGUGGGUGAAGGAGCGUUUCGGCACGUAAAUCUCUAUCAGCAGGGAAGAAAAUGACGGUACCUGAUUAAGAAGCCCCGGCUAACUACGUGCCAGCAGCCGCGGUAAUACGUAGGGGGCAAGCGUUAUCCGGAUUCACUGGGUGUAAAGGGAGCGUAGACGGCAGCGCAAGUCUGAAGUGAAAUGCCGGGGCUUAACCCCGGAACUGCUUUGGAAACUGUGCAGCUAGAGUGCAGGAGG